This 301-nucleotide ribosomal RNA is filed under the name uncultured bacterium. Its description in RNAcentral is "partial 16S ribosomal RNA". It matches the Rfam family "Bacterial small subunit ribosomal RNA", at positions 509 to 807 of the family's 1533-position model. The record is from RNAcentral.
CAGUCGCCGCGGGAAUACGUAGGUGGCAAGCGUUGUCCGGAAUUAUUGGGCGUAAAGGGCUCGCAGGCGGUUUCUUAAGUCUGAUGUGAAAGCCCCCGGCUCAACCGGGGAGGGUCAUUGGAAACUGGGAAACUUGAGUGCAGAAGAGGAGAGUGGAAUUCCACGUGUAGCGGUGAAAUGCGUAGAGAUGUGGAGGAACACCAGUGGCGAAGGCGACUCUCUGGUCUGUAGCUGACGCUGAGGUGCGAAAGCUAGGGUAGCGAACGGGAUUAGAUACCCCAGUAGUCCCUGUCUCUUAUAC